GAUGAACGCUGGCGGCGUGCCUAAUACAUGCAAGUCGAGCGAACGGACGAGAGGCUUGCUUCUCUGAUGUUAGCGGCGGACGGGUGAGUAACACGUGGAUAACCUACCUAUAAGACUGGGAUAACUUCGGGAAACCGGAGCUAAUACCGGAUAAUAUUUUGAACCGCAUGGUUCAAAAGUGAAAGACGGUCUUGCUGUCACUUAUAGAUGGAUCCGCGCUGCAUUAGCUAGUUGGUAAGGUAACGGCUUACCAAGGCAACGAUGCAUAGCCGACCUGAGAGGAUGAUCGGCCACACUGGAACUGAGACACGGUCCAGACUCCUACGGGAGGCAGCAGUAGGGAAUCUUCCGCAAUGGGCGAAAGCCUGACGGAGCAACGCCGCGUGAGUGAUGAAGGUCUUCGGAUCGUAAAACUCUGUUAUUAGGGAAGAACAUAUGUGUAAGUAACUGUGCACAUCUUGACGGUACCUAAUCAGAAAGCCACGGCUAACUACGUG
This 497-nucleotide ribosomal RNA is filed under the name uncultured bacterium. Its description in RNAcentral is "partial 16S ribosomal RNA". It matches the Rfam family "Bacterial small subunit ribosomal RNA", at positions 28 to 507 of the family's 1533-position model. The record is from RNAcentral.